UACGGAGGGAGCUAGCGUUAUUCGGAAUUACUGGGCGUAAAGCGCACGUAGGCGGCUUUGUAAGUAAGAGGUGAAAGCCCAGAGCUCAACUCUGGAAUUGCCUUUUAGACUGCAUCGCUUGAAUCAUGGAGAGGUCAGUGGAAUUCCGAGUGUAGAGGUGAAAUUCGUAGAUAUUCGGAAGAACACCAGUGGCGAAGGCGGCUGACUGGACAUGUAUUGACGCUGAGGUGCGAAAGCGUGGGGAGCAAAC
RNAcentral lists this ribosomal RNA (250 nucleotides) under uncultured bacterium. RNAcentral's name for it is "partial 16S ribosomal RNA". It matches the Rfam family "Bacterial small subunit ribosomal RNA", at positions 524 to 773 of the family's 1533-position model. The record is from RNAcentral. RNAcentral also lists the same sequence under 2 other names.